UAGGGAAUAUUGGACAAUGGGUGAGAGCCUGAUCCAGCCAUGCCGCGUGCAGGAAGAAGGCGUUAUGCGUUGUAAACUGCUUUUGCCAGGGGAUAAAACGGUUCUGCGGAACUAAUUGAAGGUACCUGGUGAAUAAGCCACGGCUAACUACGUG
Molecule: ribosomal RNA, 154 nt
Filed under: monochloroacetic-acid-degrading bacterium 'Band C'
Lineage: Bacteria
Description: partial 16S ribosomal RNA
Rfam family: Bacterial small subunit ribosomal RNA
Source: RNAcentral